This 933-nucleotide long non-coding RNA is filed under the name Trifolium pratense (red clover). RNAcentral describes it as "long non-coding RNA (TPRA_LNC002416)". The record is from RNAcentral. Lineage: Eukaryota; Viridiplantae; Streptophyta; Magnoliopsida; Fabales; Fabaceae.
AAGGUGAUCAUAUCACAAAUUGAGUUGUAUUGGUUAACUUACUAAACCAUAUCGAAAAUCACCUACACUAGAAAAAAGGAGAUCAUUACGAACAUGUAUAAAGGGAUCAGUGACUCAUUGCUCUCCCAAAUCACAAGUCAGUAACAAAUAUACAGGGGAAAUGAUUGUAUCAAAGCAAAGUUUCUUGUAAGAAUAAGAAUCAUGUGUCAUCUAAAUACAUGCUACUGGAUAUGUCACUUAUGGAAUCAAUCCAAUAAGUAUCAUCUAAUUCUAUCUUAUACAUUAAAAUGAAUUUAAUGAACAAAUUCAGUAACCUGAAUUCAAUCUGUACAAAACAUAAAUAGAAAAAUGGAAACAAAAACUGCCAUAAAAUAUGCUUGAUUGAAGGAUUUUGUUGAUGUGAAAAGAGAUUCAAAAGGAGUUUUCUCAGUAAAAUCUCCUGUCACGUAAUAACAUGCAUAUAAUCAAUGCUUAGUGAGUGGAUCAUUAUGCAAUUAAACAAGCAUGAACUAGGAACCCUAAUUUUCCGAUUUUGCAGUAGUGAUUUCUAAUUUAGAUGAAUGAGAUGAUGUGAUUAUUCGGUAAUAUGCAAAAUAAAAACGAAAUUCAUAGUGUUCAAGUCAAAUCCAGAGCUCAAUUAGAGUGUUGAAAUGCCAAAAAAGAAUAACAAUCGCUGAAAUCUAAAUCAGAAUGUUGAAAUUUAACUUACGCAGAAAUCGGAGAAGAAUCGAGCACACCGUCAAAUUUCAACGAAGAAUAACAAUCGCGAGGAAAGAGGAAUGCGGCAAAGAGGAUCGGAGAAGAGUGAGAUCGGAGCAAAUUGAAGGGUGAAUGAGAUCGGAGCAAAAUCGUGGCCGGAGCAAAAUCGGAGUGAGAGCGUUUGCAAAAUCGGUGUCGCGAUAUUGAUGAUAACGACGACGUGUUCAGAGAUUU